UUGAAAUAAACCUUGAUGGGUUGCUGCUGGCUCUCCAGGGAGCAUGUGCACACUCGUCAUCUUUAUAUCCACCUGUGCAUCUUUUGUAGACCUGGAUAAUCUCUCUGAAUGCCUAGCACUCAGGUUUGAGGAUUGACUUUCCAGAAGUCUUUCCUUCCACUUCCAGGCCUAUGUUUCUUCAUAUACCCCCCAAUGUAUGUUAUAGAAUGUAAUAAACAGGCCUUUGUGCCUAUCAAACCUAUA
Molecule: unclassified non-coding RNA, 243 nt
Filed under: uncultured Cortinarius
Lineage: Eukaryota; Fungi; Basidiomycota; Agaricomycetes; Agaricales; Cortinariaceae
Description: sequence contains ITS1
Source: RNAcentral